GUGCAGCAGUCGCGAAAACUCCGCAAUACGCGAAAGCGUGACGGGGCCAUCCCGAGUGCCGUCCGCUGAGGAUGGCUUUUCCAUAGUGUAGAUAGCUGGGGGAAUAAGGAGAGGGCAAGUCUGGUGUCAGCCGCCGCGGUAAUACCAGCUCUUCGAGUGGUAGGGAUGUUUAUUGGGCCUAAAGCAUCCGUAGCUGGUUGUGCAAGUCCUCCGUUAAAUCCAGUGAUUUAAUCGUUGGACUGCGGGGGAUACUGUUCGGCUAGGAGAUGGGAGAAGCCAACGGUAUUCCCGGGGUAGGAGUGAAAUCCUAUAAUCCCGGGAGGACCAGCAGUGGCGAAGGCUGUUGGCUAGAACACGCCCGACGGUGAGGGAUGAAAGCUGGGGGAGCGAACCGGAUUAGAUACCCCUGUAGUCC
This 415-nucleotide ribosomal RNA is filed under the name uncultured crenarchaeote. Its description in RNAcentral is "partial 16S ribosomal RNA". It matches the Rfam family "Archaeal small subunit ribosomal RNA", at positions 330 to 747 of the family's 1478-position model. The record is from RNAcentral. Lineage: Archaea; Thermoproteati; Thermoproteota.